This 142-nucleotide ribosomal RNA is filed under the name uncultured eukaryote. RNAcentral describes it as "partial 18S ribosomal RNA". It matches the Rfam family "Eukaryotic small subunit ribosomal RNA", at positions 1299 to 1458 of the family's 1831-position model. The record is from RNAcentral.
UGGUGGAGUGAUUUGUCUGGUUAAUUCCGUUAACGAACGAGACCUCAGCCUACUAAAUAUUGGGCGUUUUCUAACGAAAGCGGUUAUCAAUAAUUAGAGGGACAUUUCGAGUUUUAUCGGAAGGAAGUUUGAGGCAAUAACA